UUUGUUUUAUAAAUUUACCUUGGCUUUAAUUUUAUGUAAUCAUUUGGAAAAUACAAAUAACUGAAAAAAUCCCAAAAUUUUCCACAGUGAAUUUUUAAAUUAUCUUUUUUCAUUUCCUUAAACUUAAACAUUGAUUGUUACUUAAAUUUUCCAUUUGGAAUCAUGGAUUUAAAAUUUCUGUAGUUCAUGGGAAAAAAUUAACCCAGAAAUUCAAAGCCUUCAAACAUUCAUCUGGUUUUGGCCUACAAUAUCCUCACAAGCUUUCUCUUGGCCUAUAGGAGGAGCCACAUACCAAGGAUGUUCUGUUCCUUCCCAUUGUCGUUUUGUGGCAAGCCUUGAGUUAACGGUACCUCUACCGAGAGCAAAUAUGCUUGGUGUCCCCAAAGUCCUAGCAGUACCAUGCCUGUACUGAUCUGUAGACUUUGAUUUCUGUGUCCAGCCAGCGCAGUGUAGUGACACUGACUGAAGCCUUUGUUCUAGAUCUGUCAUCCUAUUCAAGGAUGGUUUGCAUUUUGUAAAAUUACCCUGCACCUGGAGCUGCAUGCCUUAAGCCUGAAACCUGGGCCGUGCUCGCAGUGGACAGUCUCUGUUCCCCACGCAGGAAGCGGGGUCCACAGCGCUUCUCUGACUACCUUUGGAAGGACUGUACAAUGUUAGAAUAAUUUAUUUUGCUUUACAGGAGUUUGUCAUGCAUUGACUUUAAUAUUGUAUUUUGGUAAUAAAUUUUUUGUUAAAAACACUUGCCUCUAAGUUUUAUUAACAAGGUUAAAUCCAUUCUUAUCUUGGAAAUGUUGAUUUGAUCGCUUAGAAAGUUGGGUUUAAAUAAUGAAGAACUUCCCAAAGGUUAAACUAAGGCUUAUCAUUACCCUUUGGUAGCGUGUUUUAAACUAUUGCUGACGAGCAUUAAACUGUGUUACACAAAGAUGAAAAGGCAUUUACAUUGUUUCCAUGGUUUUAAAAAUUCAGUCUAAUUUUAAAGCUUCUUUCCUUGCUAUACAGUUCAUUUUAUCUUCUGAAUCACAUCUUUAUGUGCUUUAAAUUCUGAUAUAGUCAAAGUGCUAAAAACUAGCUCUGUUAAUGACCAUUAGCAGUCUUUAUUGAAGACCAAAGAUUACAAUAAUGUGUUCACAGCUUGAUCAUUUUGGGGUCUAUAUCAAAUAUUUUUCACACUAGGUUGUCGCAUUGGCAAGUAAAGCUAACGUCAUCUGACUAUCAUUGCUCUGGUUAUCCAUUUAUGCCCUAGAAUCCUGGGCCGCCUCAGCUUAAAGUGAGGCCAGAUAUUUCUUCCUAAUAGCUGUAAUUCCUUGUCCUAACUCCCCAGGGGCAACAUAAUUAUAUCCCCAUUUCAAGAACCAAAUCCCAACAGUGUGUCACUGAAGUCCAGGUUGCUUGUAGAAAUCCCAGCAUGGAAGAUCCAGAACAUAUGGUGCCGUUCGGUAGCCACGAGCUGCCUGUGGCUACUGAGCGCUUGAAGUGUGACUAGUAUCCAGUCAAUGUCCAAUACACAACAGUUUCGAAGACUUAAUACAAAAACAAAUGUAAAUUAGCUCAUAAUAGUUUUUUAUAUUGAU
RNAcentral lists this long non-coding RNA (1571 nucleotides) under Equus asinus (donkey). Its description in RNAcentral is "lncRNA (ENSEASG00005036334.1)". The record is from RNAcentral. Lineage: Eukaryota; Metazoa; Chordata; Mammalia; Perissodactyla; Equidae.